This 2709-nucleotide long non-coding RNA is filed under the name Amborella trichopoda. Its description in RNAcentral is "long non-coding RNA (ATRI_LNC002162)". The record is from RNAcentral. Lineage: Eukaryota; Viridiplantae; Streptophyta; Magnoliopsida; Amborellales; Amborellaceae.
AAUAAUAAUAAUAAUAGCAGAGAUCAAUGAUAUAUCUAAUAUGAUCCACGAAGUAUAAACAAUAUUUCUUAUUUUAAGACUAAAUAUCAAUUUAAAUUGCAUAAUAAAAAGACAAUAGAAAAAACUAUGACUUAUAUUAACAAUACUUACUGUUUACAUAUGCAAUAGCAUGCAAACAGUCUCCAUUCCUGAGGAUAGUAACUCGGAAAGAAGCUGAAGUUACAAUAACACAUAAAGAAGAAAAGUAGAAAGAGUUAUCAGGUGCAUAGAUAACCUUUACAAAGAAAUCCACACCAUAGAAAGAUCUUUACACAGAUAAGACACACUAGCUUGAAGAAUAUUACAUGAAUAAGAAAAGAGAAAGAGAAAGAGCAAGAGCAGGAAAGACUCGCAGAGCAAGAGAGGCUUCUACUAAGCAAGAGGAGAGCGAGAUGCUGAGAGAGUGUGUUGCAAAAGAUGCAAGCUCGUUUUUUAUGAUGCCUUCUUCGUUGUACUUCGUUCGCCUUUUUUAGGGGACGAACUUCAAACGAAUUUAGCUGGAUUAGAGUAUGAGGCCAGGUGGAAAAGGAAAAGAUUCCUUCAGUCGGCUGAAUAGCGAGACAGCUGGAAGAUUGCUUUGGAUAGGUGGAAAGUUGAAAGAUUCUUUUGGUCUUCAGAUGUGACCUUAAUGGUUGCUUUAUAAAGUUUUCCAGGGCUGAUUGGCUGCUAGCUGUGAUGGAUUGUCGUCUUUCGUCGGCUAUUGAAGUGAUAUUGUCGGUGGAGCUGCUUUACGUACAACUUUAUGUACAGUGACAACAGCUUUAUGUACAACAACUUUAUUGACAACAACUUUAUGGCAGCAACUUUAUGUACAGUGAUGACAUGUGGUACUUUAUGUACAGUGAUGACAGGUGGUAGAUUCCUUCUUCUUUAUCUACAGGUAAUUUUGUCGGCCGCUUUAUUUCGGGUCUUCGGGUUAGAACUGCGGCCUCUAGCUAAACUCAUCAUCAUCUUCAUUUUCUGUCUGAGAUGCUGAAUUCUCUUCAGAUUCUUCUUCGAAAAUGUGCAGAAGUUGCUUUUCCAACUCUUCCUUGAUGGCUUUAGGGUUUAGUUUGCGCAUUCUCUUAACAUAGUCAGAAAACUGAGUUAAGAGUUUCAUUGGGAGAAUUAUAUUAAGGAUUAUUUGGGGAUAGGUCUAGUAUUCUUUUUAAUUUUAUAAACUCAGGCUCCAGAUACGUAGUAUAAAAAACAACCCACCAUUUUAUGAAAAUUCUUUUCCCAAUCUAGGGAUAUAUUCAAAAGUAUCAUCAUUAUUUUCUGAGAUUCCAUACUCCCACUUAACAAUCCAAGGAAUCUGAUAUAUUGACAUAAAGUAUAAAUGAUAAUCUAUAUUUAUAUUUUUACCAUUAUAUUCGGCAAACUUUCCCAGAGAUAAUUGCACCUUUUCGAGCAAUAUUUGUGAUCUUGAUCCAAUAUCGAAACCAACUGGGAAAUGGUUCAAAAAUUGGCAUUUUAAAUUGCACAAAUCAAGUAUGGGAAUAAUUCGUAUUUUGAUAUGCAAAUAUUUUGUGCCAAGCAUCAAUGUAUUCAGAAUAUUUAAAAUACCUAUUUGGGAACUCUGGAUUCUGUAAUUUUUUUCCACAAGUAGUAGGAUAAUAUUUUCCGUAUUUGCAAUUUGCUAUAUUAAAUCGUCUUUGUAUUGUUAUGAUAGAAAUGAACAAGAGAAAUUGAGUCAGUUUCUAGUAGAAUGGCUUCAUACCAUUCUCUAGAUUUAUUUCCAAUGGAUGAGCUCAGAUGGUUUAAAAGGUAUAGGGAGGCUAGCUUAUUUGGGUCGGUCUUUAUAUAUUUAUCAUCGAUAAUGAUAUCAAUGAGGAAAGAAGUUUCCUCAAAAACCGAUUUUCCAUAGCUUGAUACUUUAUUUGGGACAGGAGAGGUUAUGAGUCUGGGGUUUGGACUUGUUGGAAUUUGAUUGGAAUAGUCAGAAUAAUUUUGUAUUGAUCUAAUUGGUGACAAAGGUGGAUAGCUGGUUAUAGGUGAGCCUGGUGAUGAUGGUACAAUUUCCAUAGAAAGUUUUCCUUUAUCCAUAUGGAUAUAUUUCUAGAUAAGUUUCUAUUUAUAUUGAAAAGUGACAAAGCCAAAGGCUUUUGCUCUUCCGGUUUGGGGUUAGAGUCUAGAGUCCUUCCCUCCUAGCAAAAAUUCGCGAGUGAGAAAAUCAAGAAGAGAAUUAUGUUUACCACUAAAUUUUGCUCAUCCUAGCCUUGGCGGUCCUCUAGCCUAGGUGUCAAAAAGCUUAACUUUCGGACUAACACUUAAAAUGAGAAAAUUUUAAGAUUCCUAACUCCUAAGUUACUACAAUCACGUGGUAAAACACUAAUGGCCAUUCUUCAAUGGCACUGAUACCAAUUGACACCUAGAUCUAAAAAACAUAAAUUAACAUAAGAAAAGGAGCACUAUACGUUACUAAUCUAUUUUAGAUUCCAAAAAGAAAUAAUAAUAAUAAUAGCAGAGAUCAAUGACAUAUCUAAUAUGAUCCACGAAGUAUAAACAAUAUUUCUUAUUUUAAGACUAAAUAUCAAUUUAAAUUGCAUAAUAAAAAGACAAUAGACAAAACUAAAACUUAUGUCAACAACACUUACUGUUUACAUACGCAAUAGCUUGCAAACAGUCUCCAUUUCUGAGGAUAGUAACUCGGAAAGGAGCUGAAGUUACAAUCACACAUAAAGAAGAAAA